This is a long non-coding RNA of Salvia miltiorrhiza (redroot sage), 476 nucleotides long. RefSeq lists it as uncharacterized. The record is from RefSeq and is a predicted model, not a curated record. The transcript has 2 exons. Lineage: Eukaryota; Viridiplantae; Streptophyta; Magnoliopsida; Lamiales; Lamiaceae.
GGGUAAAUAGACGUUGAAUGAGAAGUUAUGGUUUGAGAUGAGAUUGGUUUUAGUAAUGAGUUCUAACUAAGGUUUGUUUUAUCACAUGAACCUUCGAUGACGAUGAUGAUGAAUUAUGAAGGCCGAGCGAGACGAAGAAGUAAGUCGCCUGUUUUCUUUCCGAAACUAGCGAAGGACUUCAGACUAAGCGAGGAGCGAGAUUGGACUGGUGCUGGUGGGGAAUUGUUAGAGGAUGUAUUUACUUUAUCGCAUUUCCAUUUUGACGAUAAAGUCUUGAUGAUUGAUAUAUACUUUGAUUUUCUUUUGAAUUUAAGCAAUGUACUCACGGUUAUAUGUCUUCAUACAUAUAAUCGAUUUGCCUUUUGCUGCGAUACUCUGCAUAUUAUUCUUCCUUACGAAAAAUGAGCUAUACCCGUUUUGUUUUUGUUCGUGAAAUUCCUGAUAUUUAUGAAGUUAUGACGAUGUUGAUAUUUUUA